UGCAGUCGAGCGCAGGAAGCUGACGGAGCUCUUCGGAGGGAAGGCAGUGGAAUGAGCGGCGGACGGGUGAGUAACACGUAAGGAACCUGCCUCAAGGAUUGGGAUAACUCCGAGAAAUCGGAGCUAAUACCGGAUAGUUCAACGGACCGCAUGGUCCGCUGAUGAAAGGCGCUCCGGCGUCACCUUGAGAUGGCCUUGCGGUGCAUUAGCUAGUUGGUGGGGUAACGGCCCACCAAGGCGACGAUGCAUAGCCGACCUGAGAGGGUGAUCGGCCACACUGGGACUGAGACACGGCCCAGACUCCUACGGGAGGCAGCAGUAGGGAAUCUUCCACAAUGGACGAAAGUCUGAUGGAGCAACGCCGCGUGAGUGAUGAAGGUUUUCGGAUCGUAAAACUCUGUUGUAAGGGAAGAACACGUACGAGAGGAAAUGCUCGUACCUUGACGGUACCUUACGAGAAAGCCACGGCUAACUACGUGCCAGCAGCCGCGGUAAUACGUAGGUGGCAAGCGUUGUCCGGAAUUAUUGGGCGUAAAGCGCGCGCAGGCGGCCUUUUAAGUCUGAUGUGAAAGCCCCCGGCUCAACCGGGGAGGGCCAUUGGAAACUGGAAGGCUUGAGUACAGAAGAGAAGAGUGGAAUUCCACGUGUAGCGGUGAAAUGCGUAGAGAUGUGGAGGAACACCAGUGGCGAAGGCGACUCUUUGGUCUGUAACUGACGCUGAGGCGCGAAAGCGUGGGGAGCAAACAGGAUUAGAUACCCUG
Molecule: ribosomal RNA, 761 nt
Filed under: uncultured Exiguobacterium sp.
Lineage: Bacteria; Bacillati; Bacillota; Bacilli; Caryophanales
Description: bacterial SSU rRNA
Rfam family: Bacterial small subunit ribosomal RNA
Source: RNAcentral